Molecule: long non-coding RNA, 452 nt
Organism: Salvia miltiorrhiza (redroot sage)
Lineage: Eukaryota; Viridiplantae; Streptophyta; Magnoliopsida; Lamiales; Lamiaceae
Exons: 3
Source: RefSeq, a predicted model, not a curated record
UCUUUCUCCCACUCUCACAACUUUUCUCCCACCAUUAUCACACUCCAUAGAAGCCUUUGAAGCCCCAAGAGAAGUAGCAAAGCAAGGGAGAGUGUGGGAAAACUAUAGAGUGAAGGUUGUGCUUCGAGGGUCCGGGCGACAGAAAGUGAAGCCGAAGAAGAAACGACUCCACGCCAGCUUUAAGAACAAUUGAGGUUGAGCAGGCGAUGGAAUGGAUCGGUGUUGAGCGGAUUUCCCUUUUGAUGUUUAUGUAAUGAAACCUUGAGUAUGCAUCUCCAUAUGCAUAACUCACACGUUUUUUCGCUGCAAACACUCUGACUUAUUUAUCAUUUCUACUUGAACUUAUUACUACUUCAUUUUAAUUAACUUUCAGUUGGGGUCUAGUCGUUAUGGCAGACUCAUUUGUGAAUUACCCAAGUGGUUAUAUAUAUAUACCACUAGUUUGUUAUUAA